This 460-nucleotide ribosomal RNA is filed under the name uncultured bacterium. RNAcentral describes it as "partial 16S ribosomal RNA". It matches the Rfam family "Bacterial small subunit ribosomal RNA", at positions 338 to 795 of the family's 1533-position model. The record is from RNAcentral.
CCUACGGGUGGCAGCAGUGAGGAAUAUUGGUCAAUGGACGGAAGUCUGAACCAGCCAUGCCGCGUGCAGGAAGACGGCUCUAUGAGUUGUAAACUUCUUUUGUACAAGAGUAAACCUGAAUACGUGUAUUCAGCUGAAAGUACUUUACGAAUAAGGAUCGGCUAACUCCGUGCCCGCAGCCGCGGUAAUACGGAGGAUCCAAGCGUUAUCCGGAUUUAUUGGGUUUAAAGGGUGCGUAGGCGGAUUGGUAAGUUAGAGGUGAAAUGUUCGGGCUUAACCCGGGAACUGCCUCUAAUACUGGUGAUCGAGAGAGUAGAUGAGGUAGGCGGAAUGUAUGGUGUAGCGGUGAAAUGCUUAGAGAUCAGACAGAACACCGAUUGCGAAGGCAGCUUACCAAUCUAUAUCUGACGUUGAGGCACGAAAGCGUGGGGAGCAAACAGGAUUAGAUACCCUUGUAGUC